Molecule: ribosomal RNA, 163 nt
Filed under: uncultured bacterium
Lineage: Bacteria
Description: partial 16S ribosomal RNA
Rfam family: Bacterial small subunit ribosomal RNA
Source: RNAcentral
UAGGGAAUUUUCGUCAAUGGGCGCAAGCCUGAACGAGCGAUGCCGCGUGAGUGAAGAAGGCCUUCGGGUCGUAAAGCUCUGUUGCGGGGGAAAAAAGGCAGCAUCAGGAAAAUGGGUGCUGACUGAUGGUGCCCCGCCAGAAAGUCACGGCUAACUACGUGCC